RNAcentral lists this ribosomal RNA (573 nucleotides) under Triticum aestivum (bread wheat). Its description in RNAcentral is "partial small subunit ribosomal RNA". Lineage: Eukaryota; Viridiplantae; Streptophyta; Magnoliopsida; Poales; Poaceae. The record is from RNAcentral.
AUGAAAUUUUGCAGGGAAACCAUGGAAGAUAUGGCAGAUGGAGACUAUUCUGAUUCUGAGCAAAUGAUUAUUAAUGACCUUACUGCAAUGUCACUUUUGCAACAUGUGCUGUUCGGAAGGCUAUUCAAAACACCACGUAAUACCUCUAAAUUAACUGGUGCGCAAAAGACUAGAGAGUGGUUGGAAGGACAUCCAGUUAGAUUUUAUGAACAACUUCGUGUUGAUAAGCACACCUUCUACUUAUUGCGAGAUGCAUUGUGCGAGAGGAAUUUACUUACGGAUACAAAACGGAUGGACGUCAAUGAACAACUAGUCAUAUUUCUACAUACAAUUGGUCACAAUGUUAGGAACCGUGUUAUCCAGGAUAGAUUUCAACAUUCAGGAGAAACAAUAAGUCGGCAUUUCAAGAGAGUAUUAAAAGCCAUUAAUGGCUUACGUGAUGUUUACAUAAUAGAUCCGCCCAAUGAAGUUCCCAACGAAAUAUUGGGCGACUCAAGGUUUUACCCAUACUUCAAGGUAUAUAUUCUAUCUCAAGAACAUGUUCCUUUCGGAUAUUACUUGCAGCAAAGUUGA